GAAGAAAUCAUCCACCCAUCUGCUCGGAAAUAGCAGCAAUACCAAGGUUCCCUAAAUUCAACUCUUGAAUGCUGAAUAAACCGAUAGCAAUGUGUUGGAGAGGCAAAAGCAGAGUAUCAGUGAGGUCACGGUGACACAGACGAAUCCUGCAUUGGACGUCAGAGUUUCGGAGCGGAGGGAGAGCCAAGAGAGCUCCUCAGCCCGAUCUAGACCUUAACUCCAGCGAGAAGAGGGAAACAGCCAUACCUCUAAAGCAUUUAGCGUCUUCAAUCAGAGGUUUUACUAAUUGAACUCAAAAGAGUCCACGCUGCACUUGUUUCCAUCAUCAACGGCACCUCAGAGGCCGCUAUUUGUUCUGGCAUUGCCUGGUGGCGAGAGAUGGACAGCCAGCAUGCAGACGCAC
This is a long non-coding RNA of Gasterosteus aculeatus aculeatus (three-spined stickleback), 403 nucleotides long. Lineage: Eukaryota; Metazoa; Chordata; Actinopteri; Perciformes; Gasterosteidae. The record is from Ensembl.